RNAcentral lists this ribosomal RNA (760 nucleotides) under uncultured Prevotella sp. RNAcentral's name for it is "bacterial SSU rRNA". It matches the Rfam family "Bacterial small subunit ribosomal RNA", at positions 28 to 776 of the family's 1533-position model. Lineage: Bacteria; Pseudomonadati; Bacteroidota; Bacteroidia; Bacteroidales; Prevotellaceae. The record is from RNAcentral.
GAUGAACGCUGGCUACAGGCUUAACACAUGCAAGUCGAGGGGAAACGACGGGGAAGCUUGCUUCCCCGGGCGUCGACCGGCGCACGGGUGAGUAACGCGUAUCCAACCUGCCUCUGACUGAGGGAUAACCCGUCGAAAGUCGGCCUAAUACCUCAUGGCAUCGUCUGCGGGCAUCCAACGACGAUUAAAGAUUUCAUCGGUCAGGGAUGGGGAUGCGUCUGAUUAGCUUGUUGGCGGGGUAACGGCCCACCAAGGCGACGAUCAGUAGGGGUUCUGAGAGGAAGGUCCCCCACAUUGGAACUGAGACACGGUCCAAACUCCUACGGGAGGCAGCAGUGAGGAAUAUUGGUCAAUGGGCGAGAGCCUGAACCAGCCAAGUAGCGUGCAGGAAGACGGCCCUAUGGGUUGUAAACUGCUUUUAUGCGGGGAUAAAGUGAGGGACGUGUCCUUCAUUGCAGGUACCGCAUGAAUAAGGACCGGCUAAUUCCGUGCCAGCAGCCGCGGUAAUACGGAAGGUCCGGGCGUUAUCCGGAUUUAUUGGGUUUAAAGGGAGCGUAGGCCGUGGAUUAAGCGUGUUGUGAAAUGCAGGUGCUCAACGUCUGCACUGCAGCGCGAACUGGUCCACUAGAGUGUGCGCAACGCAGGCGGAAUUCGUCGUGUAGCGGUGAAAUGCUUAGAUAUGACGAAGAACUCCGAUUGCGAAGGCAGCUUGCGGGAGCACAACUGACGCUGAAGCUCGAAAGUGCGGGUAUCGAACAGG